CCUACGGGGGGCUGCAGUCGAGAAUCUUCCACAAUGGACGAAAGUCUGAUGGAGCGACGCCGCGUGACUGAUGACGCAUUUCGGUGUGUAAAGGUCUUUUAUGAGGGAUGACAUAAGCGACAGUACCUCAUGAAUAAGGGGCUGCUAAUCACGUGCCAGCAGCAGCGGUAAUACGUGAGCCCCGAGCGUUAUCCGGAAUUAUUGGGCGUAAAGAGUGCGUAGGCGGCGUAGUUAGUCUUCUGUUUAAUCCUUCGGCUCAACCGAAGAACUGCAGAGGAAACGGCUAUGCUUGAGCAUGUAAGAGGUGAGCAGAACUCAUGGUGUAGGGGUGAAAUCCGUUGAUAUCAUGGGGAAUACCAAAUGCGAAGGCAGCUCACUGGUACAUUGCUGACGCUGAGGCACGAAAGCGUAGGUAGCGAAUGGGAUUAGAUACCCGGGUAGUC
This 443-nucleotide ribosomal RNA is filed under the name uncultured bacterium. Its description in RNAcentral is "bacterial SSU rRNA". It matches the Rfam family "Bacterial small subunit ribosomal RNA", at positions 338 to 795 of the family's 1533-position model. The record is from RNAcentral.